GUACACACCGCCCGUCACACCAUGGGAGUGGGUUGCACCAGAAGCGGUAGCUAACCGCCGGGAGGGAGCCGACCACGGUGAUUCGUGACUGGGGUGAAGUCGUAACAAGGUAGCCGUAGGUGAACCUGCAGAAGGAUCA
RNAcentral lists this ribosomal RNA (139 nucleotides) under uncultured eukaryote. Its description in RNAcentral is "partial small subunit ribosomal RNA". It matches the Rfam family "Bacterial small subunit ribosomal RNA", at positions 1383 to 1525 of the family's 1533-position model. The record is from RNAcentral.